GAGAAUCCGUCUCAAGCCAACCAACAAAAAAACCUUUUAUUUUCAGUGCCAAAAAAGAUCUGGAAGGAAGUGGGCACUCAGAUGCUUUAUUCACCACACUAGGUAUUAUUCUAACACUUUAUGUAUCUAUUAAAUUAACCCAACAUAUUAGAUUUGCUGAAUUGCUGUCCAUAUUUCGUAGAUGUGAUAGCUGAAGCACAGAAUCAUUGGGUAAGUUGCCCAGAGUGGCAUUCAUGACUCAUGAAUGGCUUAGGAUAAUAAAGUAAACCCAGAUGCAUUCCCCUGGGACGCCCUUUCUGCUCUUCAAAACUGAAGCUUAGGCGGCGAGAGUUGACGUGGGGUUAGGGCUGCCCUCCUGGGACGGGUUGAAGGCAGGGUGAGCCUCUCGACCUCCAGGAAAUCAUUGCGUACCCAGUCACCAGCGUUCGAGAGCCUGUCGCAGAGAGAAGGACUGAAUCCGAAGCAGGCGACUGGGCGCGGAAGCGGGAUGUACUUCUGUUGGAGGGCCGGCUCCAGCGGGCUGCAGCGCCGGAGGACGGAGGGCAGCCCCGGGGCUGAGCUACUGCAGGCGGCCAGCGGGGAGCGUCACGCUCUGCUGCUGCUGACCAACUCCUCAGUCCACUCGUGCGGAGAGAACAGCUGGGGCCAGCUGGGCCGCAGGGGCGAGCCGCGCGGGGACCUGCCAGAACCAGUUCAGGCAUUGAAAACCCUAAAGUUUGAUCUUGUGAGCUGCGGGAAGGAGCACUCCCUGGCUGUGUGCCACAAAGGAAGGGUCUUCGCAUGGGGAGCUGGUUCUGAAGGGCAGCUGGGGAUUGGAGAAUUCAAGGAAAUAAAUUUCACACCUAAGAAAAUAACAGCUCUGACUGGUAUAAAAAUAAUACAAGUUUCCUGUGGACAUUACCACUCCCUGGCAUUAUCAAAAGAUAGCCAAGUGUUUUCAUGGGGAAAGAACAGCCACGGGCAGCUGGGCCUAGGGAAGGAGUUCCCCUCCCAAGCCAGUCCUCAGAGGGUGAGGUCCCUGGAGGGGAUCCCGCUGGCUCAGGUGGCUGCUGGAGGGGCUCACAGCUUUGCCCUAUCUCUCUGUGGGACUUCGUUUGGCUGGGGAAGUAACAGUUCAGGGCAGCUGGCCCUUAGUGGGCAUAAUGUCCAAGUGCAAAGCAACAAGCCUCUCUCAAUUGGUGCACUGAAGAAUCUAGGUGUGAUUUAUAUCAGCUGUGGUGAUAAGCACACUGCCGUGCUUAGCCAGGAUGGGAAAGUGUUCACAUUUGGAGACAAUAGUUCUGGGCAGCUGGGAUACAGCCCCAAUCCUGAGAAGAGAGGUCCGCAACUUGUGGAAAGAAUUCAUGGCCUAGUUUCACAGAUAGAUUGUGGAGGUGAUCACACCGUUGCAUAUGUGCACACCACUGGUCAGGUGGUAUCUUUUGGUCAUGGACCAAGUGACACAAGCAAGCCAACUCAUCCAGAGGCCCUGAAAGAGAACUUUGAUAUUAGAUGCUUGAUUUCUGCUGAUGACCUCAUGGAUGUUCAAGUCAAACACAUUUUUGCUGGAAAAUAUGCCAACUUUGUGACAACUCAUCAGGAUACUAGUUCCACAAGUGCUCCCAGGAAAACCCUGCCAGAAAUAAGCCGAAUUACCCAGUCCUUGGCAGAAAAGUGGAUAGCAGUGAAAACAAGAAGUACUGAACAUGGAGUGGCUGAAAGUGAAGUUAGAAUGAUAUUUUCAUCCCCUGCUUGUCUGACUGCGAGUUUUUUAAAGAAAAGAGGAGCUGGAGAAACGACUUCCAUUGAUGUGGACUUAGAAAUGGCAAGAGACACCUUCAAGAAGUUAACAAAGAAAGAAUGGAUUUCUUCCAUGAUAACUACAUGUCUCGAGGACAAUCUGCUCAGAGGUCUUCCAUGCCGUUCCCCCCACCAAGAAGCUUUAUCAAUUUUCCUCCUGCUCCCAGAAUGUCCUGUGAUGCAUGAUGCUAAGAACUGGAAGAACCUGGUGAUUCCAUUUGCAAAGGCUGUGUGUGAAAUGAGUAACAAAUCUUUGCAAGUCCUAAAGAAGUGUUGGGCAUUUUUGCAAGAAUCUUCUCUGAGCCCACUGGUCCAGAUGCUUAAAGCAGCCGUCAUCUCUCAGCUGUGUCAUUGGAAUGAAACCAAACAGGAUCACUGUAAUAUUAAAGCUCUUUUAGGAAUGAUGAAAAAACUGCAUAAGGUAAACAAAACUAAUUGUCGACUACCAGAAGAUACUUUCAACAUAAAUGAACUCUCCAACUUAUUAAACUUUUAUACAGAGAGACGAAGACAGCUCUCUCGGGAUAACCACCUGGUACCUGCAGAAACCCCCAGUCCUGUUAUUUUCGGUGAUUUUCCAUUUAUCUUUAAUUUGCUAUCCAAAAUUAAAUUACUGCAAGCUGAUUCACAUCUAAAGAUGUGGAUGUCAGAAGAUAAAGCAUUCAUGCAUAUGCAUGAAACAAUUCUGAAAAAAAAGGAAGAAUUUCCUCCAUCACCUAGAUUUAUACUUAGAGUCAGACGAAGUCACCUAGUUGAAGAUGCUCUGCGUCAAUUAAGUCAAGCUGAAGCCACUGACUUCUGCAAAUUAUUAGUGGUUGAAUUUAUUAAAGAAAUUCGACCUGAGGCUGGAGGGGUCAGUUCAGAGUUCUUCUACUGUAUAUUUGAAGAGAUGACUAAGCCGGAAUAUGGAAUGUUCAUGUAUCCUGAAAAGGAUUCCUGUAUGUGGUUUCCUGCCAAGCCUAAACUUGAGAAGAAAAGAUAUUUCCUCUUUGGGAUGCUGUGUGGACUCUCCUUAUUCAAUUUAAAUUUGGCUAACCUUCCUUUCCCACUGGCUCUGUAUAAAAAACUUCUGAACCAAAAGCCAUCACUGGAAGAUUUAAAAGAACUCAGUCCUCGAUUGGGGAAGAGUUUGCAAGAAGUUCUAAAUGAUGAUGCUGAUGACAUUGGAGACGUGCUUUGCCUACGCUUUUCUAUACAUUGGGACCAAAAUGAUGUUGAUUUAAUUCCAAAUGGGAUCUCUAUACCUGUGGACCAAGCCAACAAGCAGUUUAUGAGGAAUUUCAGAGAGGAUUUUAUAGAGUCUGUGAGAAGGAGAUACUUAGACAUUUCUACCCUGAAGAACUAAUGACAGCAAUCAUUGGAAAUACUGAUUAUGACUGGAAACAAUUUGAACAGAAUUCAAAGUAUGAGCAUGAAUACCAAAAAUCACAUCCUACUAUACGGUUGUUUUGGAAGGCUUUUCACAAACUUACCUUGGAUGAAAAGAAAAAAUUCCUAAUUUUUCUUACAGGACGUGAUAGGCUGCAUGUAAGAGGCAUACAGGAAAUAGAAAUGGUAUUUCGCUGUCCUGAAACUCUCAGUGAAAGAGAUCACCCAAGAUCAAUAACUUGUCACAAUAUUCUGGACCUCCCUAAGUAUUCUACAAUGGAAAGAAUGGAGGAAGCACUUCAAGUAGCCAUCAACAACAACAGAGGAUUUGUGUCACCCAUGCUCAUGCUCACACAGUCAUAAUUACCUCCAAGAGUCUCAGAGUUGGCUUUUUCAUACUUGGAUCCUUCUGUUCUUCCUUACACCUAAAUAAUACAAGAGGUUAAGGAAUAGUAGUUAAAAGUAGUUGAGGGAGAGGUUAGGGGAAUGGGGAGAGGAUGGUGACUGUCAAAGGGCACAAAAUCUCACACAAGACUGAGGCAGGAGAAUAGGGCCUAGAGAUAGGGAUCUAAGGAUGACUUGGACAGAUUCCCUGAAGCUGAAGAGUCUGAAUGCUGCCCUGCGAUUGGUUCAUUCAGGACCUUCAUUUGCAUAAGGCAUCAAACCACAUCAGUCUCUGACUGGCCAUGGGCCAAACCUGCACUCUGGCCAAUGACUGGUUCAUUCCAGGACCUUCAUUUGCCUAAGGAGCCAAACCACACAAGUUUGGGGUUGGCCAUGGACAAAUUCACCUCAGCCUCUAAUUGGCUGUGAGCCAGUCUUUCAUUUACGUAGGGUGUAAUCAUCAAGAAACCUCUACAGGGUACUUAAGCCCCAGAAGAUUUUGCUACAAGGGCUCUUGAGCCACUUGCUGGAGCCCACUCCCACCCUGUGGCAUGUACUUUCACUUUUGCUCCUUCACCGCCUUGUGCUCCAAUAAAUCCACUCUUUCACCACUU
RNA transcript from Cebus imitator (Panamanian white-faced capuchin), 4145 nucleotides. It is a transcript of the gene named HECT and RLD domain containing E3 ubiquitin protein ligase family member 6, with no coding region annotated. The record is from RefSeq and is a predicted model, not a curated record. NCBI's taxonomy places the organism in Eukaryota, Metazoa, Chordata, Mammalia, Primates, Cebidae. The transcript has 23 exons.